GAUGAACGCUAGCUAUAGGCUUAACACAUGCAAGUCGAGGGGAAACGGCAUUAUGUGCUUGCACAUUUUGGACGUCGACCGGCGCACGGGUGAGUAUCGCGUAUCCAACCUGCCCUUUACUUGGGGAUACCCCGUUGAAAGACGGCCUAAUACCCGAUGUAAUUCAUUGAUGGCAUCAGAUAUGAAUAAAAGAUUUAUCGGUAAAGGAUGGGGAUGCGUCUGAUUAGCUGGUUGGUGAGGUAACGGCUCACAAAGGCGACGAUCAGUAGGGGUUCUGAGAGGAAGGUCCCCCACAUUGGAACUGAGACACGGUCCAAACUCCUACGGGAGGCAGCAGUGAGGAAUAUUGAUCAAUGGGCGCAAGCCUGAACCAGCCAAGUAGCGUGCAGGAAGACGGCCCUAUGGGUUGUAAACUGCUUUUAUACGAGAAUAAUUUGAUGCACGUGUGCGUUAUUGCAUGUAUCGUAUGAAUAAGGACCGGCUAAUUCCGUG
This 492-nucleotide ribosomal RNA is filed under the name uncultured bacterium. RNAcentral describes it as "partial 16S ribosomal RNA". It matches the Rfam family "Bacterial small subunit ribosomal RNA", at positions 28 to 507 of the family's 1533-position model. The record is from RNAcentral.